Molecule: long non-coding RNA, 1698 nt
Organism: Strigops habroptila (Kakapo)
Lineage: Eukaryota; Metazoa; Chordata; Aves; Psittaciformes; Psittacidae
Exons: 2
Source: RefSeq, a predicted model, not a curated record
CCAUCCCCAGCGCCCACAAAAAUGUCUGCUCUGCUUGGCUUAUAAAGGAAAAAGAUCCUUUUAAGGGAAAGACAGUUUAGUAAAAGAUAACACUAGCUCGUUUUUACUGUAUCAGCAGUGUGAAAGAAAGGAGAAAAAGAGAGGAUGGGAAUUUUAGUGAUGGAGAGACAUCCCCUUGCUUAUGCAUGUGGAUUCCUGAGUCCUCUCAACACCUAGCUACUCAAUUAAGUUGUAUUAAUAGUAACAAAGGGUGUCCUGGUGUAUAAUGUGUUCUUUAAAAAUAACACCUAAACGUGCCUUUACGCUUGUUCUUUCCAUUCUGCUGGGAAGUAUCAUCAUAUUACCUAUACAGCUACAGCAUUCAGGAUAUUGGCAUCCCGGGCCAUGUCUGUAAUUCCUAAACACAUUAAAAUGGUUGAAGUCAGUGUAUUUUACUUUCAGAGCUGGGAUGGACAAGGGGUGUAUGGCCAGUUACCACAGAACAGCGCAGUAACUCAUCAGUCAUCUGUCAAUACCCUCAAGUUGUCUGCGUGCACUUCUUUUUACUAUUUUAGCCAAGCAGCUGUGGAACUUUCUGAAUAUAAACAUGACAGCUGUAUACAGAUGUAUUGCCACCAUCCUCCUUUCACUUGUCAGUUCUCGGCUUACGUAGUGACCACCUUUGUUCAUACUCUGAAAGUCAGUAUUGCGCAGGGAGGUUCUGACUUACCAUCCUCUCACGAUUCUCUUUCCUAGGAGAGAGGCCCACAUCGUAGAAGAGUUUCUUCCAAAGAACAGCUCACACCAAGGUAAUCACAGCACUACCUCUUACAGCAGCUGGGAACAGCAGCAGAACAGCAGGCUCUGCCAUUAUAUUUUCCCCAGUACUAACUUCCAGUUUUCAUCAGUCUGCAUCUUGUACACUUCCCAAGUCAGAGGUGUGUCUUUACAUCUAAUCUGAUGGAUCUCCCUCACAUGAAUUUGCCCAGCCACAUUUUGAGCCCACCUGUGCUUUUGGCACCCACAGGAUCUGGGGCAGUGGGUGCCACAGUGAAAUUGUGUGGUAACACGAAGAUGACAAGAGUGCUCUGAAGGAAACCCUCCUGUUACCGGAGCCAGGAGAGGUAAGGCCAAGACAGGUACAAUUUAAAUGUGUUUGCUUCUCCUCUUUGGACAAAGGCACAAAGAUCUGCAACUUUAACUUUGCCCUACGGUUUCUCAGUGGUGUAUCACACUCAGUCACCCCUUCACACACCAGCUGGUACAACGUGUUACAAGGUUCGGUAACUGCAGACCUCCCCAAUCCGUCCUGUUUUCUUGCUGCAAGGAGUGGAAUACAAGGUCCUGGAGUUGUUUAUACCACCUGUUCCAUGAUCCCAAAGGACUCUUGAGGACUUAGUGGCUCAUCUGGUCAGACUUUGUGCAAACUAACCAGUUUUCAGCUGCGCCUCUGCUCAGGCAGCCAGGCACGGUCUCUAACUGGUGAUAGCUAGUCCUAGUGAUGGAUUGCUCGUAUCUGACAGCCAGUGGGGAAGGGAUGUUUAGGCCAGUGUAGAAAAAGACAACGAUACAGAAUUGUGCUGGGACCAAAACUGUAUCGGGGAGAUGUAGUGCGUCCGUGGAGGGGUGUGUUUAGUUCGGUGGCUUUUCCUGGCUUAAAGAUACUAUUGGUACUAUCAGCAAUUAAAUAAAACAUUUGGAGGUAAAAAUCUGCCUGAG